GCGCCAGUGGCGGAACUGGAAGACGCACCUGCCUCAGGAGCAGGCGAGCUCGACUCAUGCAGGUUCGACCCCUGCCUGGCGCA
Molecule: transfer RNA, 83 nt
Filed under: Allobosea sp. RAC05
Lineage: Bacteria; Pseudomonadati; Pseudomonadota; Alphaproteobacteria; Hyphomicrobiales; Alloboseaceae
Description: Bosea sp. RAC05 tRNA
Rfam family: tRNA
About the family: Transfer RNA (tRNA) molecules are approximately 80 nucleotides in length. Their secondary structure includes four short double-helical elements and three loops (D, anti-codon, and T loops). Further hydrogen bonds mediate the characteristic L-shaped molecular structure. tRNAs have two regions of fundamental functional importance: the anti-codon, which is responsible for specific mRNA codon recognition, and the 3' end, to which the tRNAs corresponding amino acid is attached (by aminoacyl-tRNA synthetases). tRNAs cope with the degeneracy of the genetic code in two manners: having more than one tRNA (with a specific anti-codon) for a particular amino acid; and 'wobble' base-pairing, i.e. permitting non-standard base-pairing at the 3rd anti-codon position.
Source: Rfam by way of RNAcentral